AGGAUAAACGCUGGCGGCGUGCCUAACACAUGCAAGUCGAACGCGCUUUCCUCUUCGGAGGGGAGCGAGUGGCGGACGGGUGAGUAAGACGUGGGUACCUAUCCCGCAGUGAGGAAUACCGGCGAGAAAUCGCCGACAAGACCGCAUACGCUUCCCUUCACGGGGAAGCAAAGUCUCGCAAGAGGCGCUGAGGGAGGGGCCUGCGGCCGAUUAGCUGGUUGGUGAGGUAACCGCUCACCAAGGCGACGAUCGGUAGCUGGUCUGAGAGGACGAUCAGCCACACUGGGAUUGAGAACGGCCCAGACUCCUACGGGGGCAGCAGUGAGGAAUUUUCGGCAAUGGAGGCAACUCUGACCGAGCAACGCCGCGUGCAGGACGACGGCCUUCGGGUUGUAAACUGCUUUUCUGGGGACGAGCGAAGGACGGUACCCCGAGGAACGAAGCCCCGGCUAACUACGCGCCACGCAGCCGC
Molecule: ribosomal RNA, 472 nt
Filed under: uncultured bacterium
Lineage: Bacteria
Description: SSU rRNA
Rfam family: Bacterial small subunit ribosomal RNA
Source: RNAcentral